UUUUUCUUUGUAACGGGCUGUUGCUAGGAACGCGAGAUUCAUAACAUAGAAUUUUAAACAAAAAAUUGUCUCAGAUUAGUUAUUUCACCGGUAAGCAGCUGUGUAAUACACAGGAUGAUGUAGAGAGCUGGUUAGAUCAUGGGUAGAAGCCAGACACGGAGCUGAUGGGGUUCUAUCCGUCUUGUCGGCGUUUAUUUCACUCUAGCUAUGACAACCUGCUAACAAUAUAUUAUCCUUACAUACAUCUUACAUGUGAAAAGUAAUCCCAUGAGCUCUUGUUUCCUUACAGCUCUCAUUAGAGCAUCCAUAGGCUGAACAGAAGUCCGGCAUCUUUAAAUAACUAUGCUGGAGUCAGAGGGAGAUAGUGUGUAGCUUAAGUGUUGAGUGGCAAAACCAGCAUUGUAAAAAUAUCUGAGCACAUUGUAUAGUAGCUACACCUGUGACGUUUCUAAAAAAUCAAACAGUUUGGCAAUCGGUUCAAAAUUCAGCGAAUAAUUCCACUUUGAGAUUCAGCAGUACCUCUUGCCUCCGUAGAUGUCUAUGCACUGCUGCCUCCGCUGGCCCCGGUUCAAGAUGGCGGCGCUGUAAGCACGUCUCUCGACAGCCUAUGAGGCGUCUAUGUAUAUAUGUCUAUGUGUUUAGCUGCCUGCCUGGCUAAAUACUGGAGCUAUGUCAAAAAUUAAUUUCUCCAUCACUCACAUGUAUGAAAUGACAUGAAAACAGACCCCAGGUUGAAAAAAAACGAAGUUCCCCUUUAAGGCGAAGUGCGUCUGAAGUGAUUUUUUAUUUUUUAUUUUCUAUGUUAGUAUUUUUUGAAUGUCAGCGCUGGCCAAUCAUGUUCUACUGUAACAUCAUGUUAUACUGUAACAUGAUUGGCCAGCGCUAUCGUCAUGGCAUAGUUCUGACCAACCGGGUUGAGCCCUCAUAGAAGACGGGAGCUGGCGGUCUUUCAUUUCCAUUGCGAGGAAAAGCUUGGUUUGAAAAUGUAUGCAUAUGUGCGAUACAUUGCUGACAAUGUCCACAAGACUGUGUCCACAAAAGAAAUCGAAAAUUUCCAUCCCCGAAAUCUGGAUGACUUCAAUGCCAAGAAGCGGUAUAAAAUCCUCUGCAGAAGAACCCCAGAGGAAAGCGGCUCUUAUUAUUAUGGGCAAAUUUUAAAAUUGGCAGGGAUCCUGAAACAAUCUCUCCCCCAGUCUGGAGAAACAGAUCUGGAAGGACCUGACGUGAUCACCCCAGAGCUGGACGAAGAAGGAAAAGUAACCAUUUCACACACAGUUUUGGUUUGAUAAUGUCUUUCAAAGGGAUGUAGUAUACCAUUUGAAAGAUUGAUCAUUAUUAAUAGGGUUGUAUGGGGUCACGGUAAUACCGUUUAAUAACGUUGUUAAAAAAUGUUGAUGGUAUUAACAAUGCUGUCGGUGUCGUCAUGGUUUGGUGCGCCGUCACAUACUGUAAUGUUGCUGGCUACAGAUUUCUGUCGUAGGCAUGAGCACUGAGCAGUGUGUGGAGUCUGGAUAGUCUCGAUAGCAGAUUGUCCUCAAAUUUUUUCCAGUAUUAGCACUCAGUGACCUUAAGGUGUGGAGGCUGACAUGACAUUUGGCCGGAGUUCUCCUUUAAGUCUCAGGUCUAACAGAACACUUGUUUUUAUUUUUAUAGAUCAAACUUGGCCCAGGAGUUUCCCUGAACAAGGAGAAAUGGCAGAGGGUGCAGGAAGUAAAAUCAAACUCCCAAUUCUUCAAGUCGUUGGCAGUUUGCAUUUGGGGCACAGAGGGACUGAGGGAGAGAAGCGUCACAGGGGCCAAAUCAAACACGGUCAAAGACUCUGUCCCCAAGCGCAUAGCCGUCAGUUUAGGGGGGACGGUGGGGAUGUGUCCCCCCCACUUCUUGUCAGGGGUCAUUUUGUCUUCACCACAU
Acanthochromis polyacanthus (spiny chromis) is the source of this 1911-nucleotide long non-coding RNA. RefSeq lists it as uncharacterized. NCBI's taxonomy places the organism in Eukaryota, Metazoa, Chordata, Actinopteri, Pomacentridae. The record is from RefSeq and is a predicted model, not a curated record. The transcript has 3 exons.